GGGCCUCUAGCUCAUGCCUGGUUAGAGCAGCGGACUCAUAAUCCGUUGGUGCCCGGUUCGACUCCGGGGAGGCCUACCA
RNAcentral lists this transfer RNA (79 nucleotides) under Janthinobacterium lividum. RNAcentral's name for it is "tRNA-Ile". It matches the Rfam family "tRNA". From Rfam's summary of the family: Transfer RNA (tRNA) molecules are approximately 80 nucleotides in length. RNAcentral also lists the same sequence under 75 other names. The record is from RNAcentral. Lineage: Bacteria; Pseudomonadati; Pseudomonadota; Betaproteobacteria; Burkholderiales; Oxalobacteraceae.